GGAGGAGUAUUGGACUUCCGCAGACGCCCGUCAGGGGGAGUCUGCAAACCAACUUAUGCUGCUGGAGGAGUAACUGCCUUUGGUGGUGAGCGAUAAGGAAAAACGGGAACCGAUAUUCCUGUAGGU
Non-coding RNA from Flammeovirgaceae bacterium 311, 126 nucleotides. The record is from Rfam. Lineage: Bacteria; Pseudomonadati; Bacteroidota; Cytophagia; Cytophagales; Flammeovirgaceae.